Molecule: unclassified non-coding RNA, 2274 nt
Filed under: Hevea brasiliensis (rubber tree)
Lineage: Eukaryota; Viridiplantae; Streptophyta; Magnoliopsida; Malpighiales; Euphorbiaceae
Source: RNAcentral
CUCGAGUGUAGUUGAUUGAUUGUAAUCUGCAGAUGGAAAAUGGCAGCCAUGGCCAUGACACGCUUGCAAUUCCUCCACCCAUCUCCCAUCAUCAAACCUUCUCUAUUUCUAUCAAACCUCCCUCGCUCUCCCAUUUAUGGCCUCCGCCGCCGCAAACACUCCACCUCCACCACCUCCCCUCUCUGUUCUACGUCAAAUCACACCCAAACCCCAGAGAGUUGUGAUGCUUCGAUAGUUGGGGAUCUGCUGGACUAUCUCAACGAGUCUUGGACUCAGUUUCACGCUACUGCGGAAGCAAAAAGGCAACUUCUUGCUGCUGGUUUUCAUUUGCUUAAUGAAAAUGAUGAAUGGGACCUAAAGCCUGGUGGACGCUACUUCUUUACAAGAAACAUGUCUUGCUUGGUUGCUUUUUCUGUUGGGCAGAAGUACACUGUUGGAAAUGGUUUUCAUGUGAUAGCUGCACACACAGACAGUCCAUGCUUGAAGCUCAAACCAAAAUCUGCGUCCUCCAAAUCUAAUUAUCUAAUGGUCAAUGUGCAGACAUAUGGAGGUGGUUUAUGGCACACAUGGUUUGAUAGAGACUUGAGUGUUGCAGGAAGGGUAAUAGUGAGGGGUACUGAUGGUUCUUUUCUGCACAAGCUUGUCAAAGUAAAGAAGCCUUUAUUACGAAUACCAACGCUGGCCAUUCAUCUUGACCGCACAGUAAAUAAGGAUGGAUUUAAACCAAAUCUAGAGACACAUCUCAUUCCAUUAUUUGCAACAAAACCUGAGGAAACAUCUACGGAGUCAAAAGAUAAAAAUACAGAAUCUUCAAAAGCUGUCCAUCAUCCACUGCUUAUGCAGGUUUUAUCAGACGAGCUGAGUUGCAGUACUGAUGAUGUAGUGAGCAUUGAGCUAAAUCUUUGUGAUACCCAACCUAGCUGCCUUGGAGGUGGAAACAAUGAGUUUAUUUUUUCUGGAAGGUUGGAUAAUCUUGCUUCAAGUUUUUGUGCAUUACGAGCUCUUAUUGAUUCAUGCAAAUCUUCCAAUGAUUUAUCAAGUGAACCUGCUAUUCGGAUGGCUGCCUUAUUUGAUAAUGAAGAGGUAGGUUCAGGUUCAGUCCAGGGAGCUGGUGCACCAACCAUGUUUCAGGCCAUGAGACGAAUAGUUGGAUGCUUAGCUCAUAAUGAAGUUAGUGAAGGUGCUAUUGAGCGUGCAAUUCGGAAAUCUUUUCUUGUGUCUGCGGACAUGGCUCAUGGAGUUCAUCCAAAUUUUAUGGAAAAGCAUGAAGAACACCAUCGACCAGAAAUGCGAAAGGGACUUGUUAUCAAGCACAACGCAAACCUGAGAUAUGCUACUAAUGGAAUCACAGCUUUUCUCUUUAAAGAAGUUGGCAAAAUCCUCAACCUUCCAACUCAGGAAUUUGUAGUGAGAAACGAUAUGGGAUGUGGGUCCACCAUAGGUCCUAUACUUGCUUCAGGCGUAGGCAUCCGCACUGUUGAUUGUGGCAUUGCUCAGCUUUCCAUGCACAGUGUGAGGGAGGUGUGUGCAAAGGAGGAUAUAGACAUUGCUUACAGGCAUUUUAAGGCAUUCUACCAAAACUUUUCAACCAUAGACAAGAAGCUACAAGUGGAUUAAGGCCACCCAAUAUUACUAUUUUCUUUGGUGUGUUUUAUGGGGAUAAUUUUAUUUUAUUUGUUGUGGGGGGAGGGAGAAAGAGAGGGAGAGAGCAGAAGAUAUCUUGCAUUGCAUCAUCAAACUUUUUUAUUAUUGGUAAGCACAUUGUUGCCUCCAAAAAUAAAGAUGACUAAGAGCUUCAGCAGAUAACUAUAGGUAAAGACUAAUUUGUAGAAAAGGAAGCUGACAAUAAUUUCUAUCUCCAUGCUUUGCACUUUAGGAGGAGCAAUUCAUUGAGCUAAGUGUGCCCAUAAAAUCAGUUUUUGUUCAAAUUCGUAGGAUUUGUGGUGGAAGUAGAACUGAGAUUGAGGUCAGGAUUAGCGUUUGGAUUGGAGUUUCCCUUGGAGAGCUUCUGCUUCUGCUUCAGCUCAGACAACAGAGCCUGAUUCUCCUUGUUUAGUUGUUGAGCUUUCUUCCUAAGCAUCUCAUUUUGUCUGAUGAUAUAACAGUUCUGCAAAUAUAGCUCUGAGUUCAUCUUCUCCAUGUUGAAUUGCUAUUAUCUUCCCUGAAAGUACAGCAAAACACAGACAAAAAAUAUCAGAUAAUAGAUUUAUGUCAUACAUAGAAAACCGCAUUUACACUCCUUUAAAGAUAGAUAUAAAUGUUCUUGCAUGCUUG